CAACGAGCGCAACCCCUACGUUUAGUUGCUAACGCGUGGAGGCGAGCACUCUAGACGAACUGCCGUUGACAAAACGGAGGAAGGUGGGGAUGACGUCAAAUCAUCAUGCCCCUUAUGUUCUGGGCUACACACGUGCUACAAUGGCCGGUACAGACGGACGCAAAGCCGCGAGGUGGAGCAAAUCCUAAAAAGCCGGUCUCAGUUCGGAUUGCAGGCUGCAAUUCGCCUGCAUGAAGUCGGAAUCGCUAGUAAUCGCAGGUCAGCAUACUGCGGUGAAUACGUUCCCGGGCCUU
This 293-nucleotide ribosomal RNA is filed under the name uncultured Pelotomaculum sp. RNAcentral describes it as "partial 16S ribosomal RNA". It matches the Rfam family "Bacterial small subunit ribosomal RNA", at positions 1090 to 1382 of the family's 1533-position model. Lineage: Bacteria; Bacillati; Bacillota; Clostridia; Eubacteriales; Desulfotomaculaceae. The record is from RNAcentral.